RNAcentral lists this ribosomal RNA (120 nucleotides) under Triticum aestivum (bread wheat). RNAcentral describes it as "partial small subunit ribosomal RNA". The record is from RNAcentral. Lineage: Eukaryota; Viridiplantae; Streptophyta; Magnoliopsida; Poales; Poaceae.
AUGACGGAUUUUAACUUACCUUCUAUUUUCGUGCCUUUAGUAGGCUUAGUAUUUCCGGCAAUUGCAAUGACUUCUAUAUUUCUUUAUGUGCAAAAAAUAAGAUUGUCUAGUACUUUUUAG